RNAcentral lists this ribosomal RNA (261 nucleotides) under uncultured bacterium. Its description in RNAcentral is "partial 16S ribosomal RNA". It matches the Rfam family "Bacterial small subunit ribosomal RNA", at positions 333 to 591 of the family's 1533-position model. The record is from RNAcentral.
AAGUACCUACGGGGGGCAGCAGUGAGGAAUAUUGGUCAAUGGCCGGAAGGCUGAACCAGCCAAGCCGCGUGAAGGACGAAGGUGCCAAGCAUUGUAAACUUCUUUUGUCAAGGGAUAAAAUCAGGCUCGAGAGCCUGACCGAGGGUACUUGAAGAAAAAGCAUCGGCUAACUCCGUGCCAGCAGCCGCGGUAAUACGGAGGAUGCGAGCGUUAUCCGGAUUUAUUGGGUUUAAAGUGUGCGUAGGCGGGCUGUUAAGUCAG